This is a long non-coding RNA of Ahaetulla prasina, 3669 nucleotides long. RefSeq lists it as uncharacterized. The record is from RefSeq and is a predicted model, not a curated record. NCBI's taxonomy places the organism in Eukaryota, Metazoa, Chordata, Lepidosauria, Squamata, Colubridae. The transcript has 3 exons.
CGUUCCUAUGAGUCUGCAUUGCUUGGAAACUAGCUGGAUCACUUUGCUAACUUUGACAGGCACUGUAGCUGAAUUGAAGAAGGAAGCAACAGCUCUGCUUUGAUGUUGUGCCAUUACUGAUCAUGUAGGUGGGACUUACUUCAAAGGGGAUUGUCCGCCUUUUCUCUCUCUGCGCUCUAUAAGGCUGGCUUUAAUUGCAGAGCGAGGGCUUCUUCAGGGCUCUUAGCAUUCUCCUUUUAAAAAUGAACUGCCAUAUCAAAGACAUCCAUCCACUUUUAUUGCUGAGGUAAGCAAGUACCAAAACUGAAGCCAACCCUUUUGUUUCUCCCAAUUCUUUUCUUUUCUUUCUUUCUUUUUCUCGAACUGACCGUUGGUGUCAAUGCGGUACAAAAAUCUGAAGAGAGAUGAAGAGAGAAAUCAAAGCCACAGUCAAAUCUCAAAUGGUUGAGUAAUCAGGGUGGGGUGCUUUUGAUAAAAAUCAAGACUCCUUCCAGUCACGCUCAGUUCUUGGCGACUUUGGCAUGUUUGUUUUGUUGACAACAGUUCUGUAGAAGAAUAUUGCCAUUGCCUUCUUCCAAAAUGUUACAGCUAGGGUUGUCUUGUUGACUCUUCCCUCUUGUCUUCACCCUGGCAUUCCCUGAUUCUCUCAUGUAAAUAGGAAUCAAAAUUAAUGCUUGUUAUGCCCUGUGAUGUUUUGCUGUUUCAGUUGACAGACUACCUGGUUAAAUACAGUGUCUCCUCUGACUGGGAGUGGAAGGACAGAAACCUUGAGAGUUUUGAUUGGCUGAGGAAUGAGCAGCGACUGAUGGAGGCUGACCCAAUUGGUCACAUGAUCAUGCUUCUCCAAAAGAGCAGAAGCACAAUAUGCUAUUAUUUUGUGUUGGCUUAAGCAGGAAAGAUUGGCUCUAUUUUUGGUAUGGGAAAGACUAGUGUAAAACAGCUUAAAUCAUAGGCUGUGGAUUAGAUGAUGCAACUUCAUGGGAUUAAGGAAGAAACACAGAGCUGGCCAGGUGUCCCAAAGCCAAAGUAAACCACAGUGAGGAAAGGGCUUUAUAUAACUCAUUGAAAUGAUACAUUUUCCCCUUUUGGCAGUCUAGGAGCAAGAUACCCCUUGGACGAGUACCAUUUUGGAAUAAUAUGUGGGAGAAUGUGUAUUGUACACAGAUUUUUUUUAGGGUCUGUUUUCAGCUGUGUUGCAGGUCUGGUUUUGGCACUCUAUUUGUGUUUCACACAAAUUGUGAAUUGGUGAAUUAACCCCUUCCAAAAUACAGAUGGAAUGCAUCCUUACUGGUUGCCUCCAAGCUUUCACACUGUCACUACAACAUCAUUCUAAAUAAUGGCCUCACGUCACAUGUCUCUAGAUAAGCUGAAAAAAUUAAUGGGAACUAGAAGAUUCCACUUUACCAAGUAAAUUGCUUACUAACAAAUAAAAGUCUAAAAGGUACCCUCACUGGGACACUGUCGAAACACAAUCAACAUUAACAAGUAAAAUCUAGCAAAACUACAAGGAGGCAAUAAAAUUAAUAUACACCGUGAUCAAGUUUCAAUAGACACUUACAGAAGUAUCAGAUCCUAAACUUGUAAACCCUUCUCAUCUCUCUUGGCAAGUAGGAUUUGACACAAAACAGUUUUUCUUAAUGUGUCAGAUGACACAAUGAAAAGAUGGAGGCAGCGAUGUUUGCAGGGGGACUCAGUACUGGCAACGUGGCAGAUGAAGCAUCACAAUGCAAGUUUAGUUCCUUCGGAAUCUGUCUGUGUGUGACAUCAAAGCAGGUACAAAAGGGGUGUGGCUUGUAUUGGGAUGCUCAUUCCAUCACCUGUGACUCUUCCCCUGCAGAUGCUGUUGGGUGAAGAGGAGCAAGUUCAUAGAUCUUCUGGUAAAGCAGCCUUUGUGACAAGUCAUGUCCACUCUACUUGCUCCAUGGCAAUGAUCCAAAUCUGUCCAUUAAUUCAACAGGAUGCCUUAUCCUUUUGUUCCUAUUUUAUCACAUUAAAAUCAGAAGGGGUCGACAUUUUAAACUUUCCAGAGAAGCCUACAGGGAUGGGAAUUAGUUUAGUCAAUGUCUGUAUUUUUAAUAAGCUAUUAAAUCAGAAUUAAAAAUGACUACCAAGAAGAAACAGAUCGAUGUCUGAUAGCUUUCUGGUAUUUUACCACCCAUGUUUCUUUACAUCUGAAUCCACUUGCCUGCUCUCCUAAUUCCAAAUGAACUUUCAUCUCUUGUUUAAUGAUAUAUUGAAAGACGUGCUGACAGGGCUCCUCUCACAUUUUCCUUUUAAAAAGGCUGCCAGAUCAUAGAUUCACAACUUCAAGUCACAGUAGACUAUUGUCAAUUUACUUGCCUUUUGGUAAUUUAAUCUUACCUCAACUUCUAUCAUUCUGGCUUGCCUUGCUAUUAUUAUUUUUUUCAAAAAUGCAACAAGAUUUAGAAGGUGUAUAGAGUCAUUCCAAAAGCUGUUUGAUUUUCUAAAAUAUAGAUCAAAUGCAAUUUCCCUUGUCACUGAACAAAAUAUUGUGACAUGAAUUUUCUCUAAGUGCUGUAAUUAUAAUAUGGUUAGUGUUCUGGAGAGACAGACUUAGGAGUGGUCUUUGAAAACUUCACAAGUUGCUAUGAAAGAUGUCUCCUAACUGAAUCCAACAACCUUCCCCUGAAACAACACUUAAUAUGAAAAAGAUAAAGUCUCCUUUGAGUUGAGUACAACUCUUCAUAUUUCAUAUCCAUGUACUUUUCUUGGCAAUAUUCCAGUAGGAUUUACUACUGCCUUCUUUUGGAAUUGUUUUUCAGUUUCCUGGUUUAGACUUCAGUUCUAGGACUCUCGGGGGUCUUGUUACUAAUAGUAUAUUAGUGAGGUCUAACCCUUCUUAGCUUUUAAAGAUCCACCAAAGGCAGCAUGGUGUUGCCUUCUUUUGUUGCAUCAUUUGUUGUAUCUUUUGUUUGACCAUGUCGUAUUAGUAGUAGGUAUGACACAGCUUUCUUUAACUUGGAACUUUCCAGAUGCAUAGGAUUACAUCUCCUGUCAUCCGUAGCCAGCAUGUCCAAAGGGUGUGUCACUAGGGAUGAUGUGCAUUGGAAUCCAACACAUCAAGAAGUCUUCAAACUGGAGAAAACUGGACCUACACCUAUCCUAAUGAAUCUCACUGAUGUUUAAUCGCCUAUCAAUCACACUAAUUGCUACAGCCGUGCUGUUGUGUGCAGCAACUCUGCCCAUGCUCAGAAGCAAAUUCUUCUGUCUGCAAAGGGGCCGGAGCUCAUCUCCGUUUCAAAGCCGAAGAGCCAGCGCUGUCCGAAGACGUCUCUGUGGUCAUGUGGCCAGCAUGACUCAACGCCAAAGGCGCACGGAAUGCUGUUACCUUCCCACCAGAGAUGGUCCCUAUUUUUUCUACUUGUAUUUUUUACGUGCUUUCAAACUUCUAGGUUGGCAGAAGCUGGGACAAGUAACGGGAGCUCACCCUGUUACAUGGCAGCACUAGGGAUUCGAACCGUUGAACUGCCGACCUUUUGAUCGGCAAGCUCAGCGUCUUAGCCCCUGAGCCACUACGUCCCUAUAGAAAUUAGCUAGUAGUAUAUAAAAUGUAUGUGUAUAUAAUUGGUUAAAAGAUAAAAUAGGUAUUACCAAGAUGCCGGUAUUGGGAAGCUGUAAAAAUGUAACAAAGAUGUUAAAGAUGUAAAU